UUUGGCUUGUAUUAUUCAAUCACUUUUCUAGUCUAAACUUCCAAAGUCUUCCACAUUCCUCUAAAAUUCAACAUUCACAGGAUCUUCAUACUUCAUUCAGAGCAUCAACAUACUACCUGUUGCAGACUGCUUGAGUGAAGUCUUCCUAUGGCUAUGACUUAAGCCAACCAAGAGGCCUAAAGCAAGAGGAACAACAGACAAGAGGAGGAACCUCUAUCACUACGAGCCAAAAUAAGGAACUCCCAUGACAUUCUGACUUCUCAUUCUGAGUCUCAAGCAUAAGUCUGCAGGGUGUUUGAGGAUGCUAGUUGAUGUCCAUGACCUGGACCACCAGACCACUGGUCAGUGGGCUGCCUUGUGGGACUUUCCAAUGAUUUCCAGUGAGACAAAGAAGUGGAAGAGGACAGUCUGCAUGGGAGCUCCUACAACACCACUGCUCUUUCCUGGCUGUUCAUCAUUGCUCUAUUUAUUAAUGCAUAGAUGCUUACAAAUAUCAAUGCAUUUUUUGGCAUGCUAGACAGAGGAGGUUGUUUGAGAGGAGUAUAUGUGUAUGGGGUGCAUAUAUAUGGAGGUGUAAAGGCCAGAGGUCAAACUGAACUUCUAUUCCUCUGGUGCUGUAUGCCUUGUUUCUUGAAGGUGGGUUUCUCACUGGCCUAUGGCUUCCAAAUUAGGCUGUGUGGGCCAGCCAGUAAGUGUGAUGUCUACCUGUGUCCACCUCCUCAGCACUGGGACAGUAAGUGAAGGCCACGAAGUCCAGCUUUUACAUGGGUUCUGAGAUCUUAUGUUUGCACAGCCAACUCUCUACCAACUGAGUUAACCCUUGAAACCCAAAAGCAUUGUUUUUAAAGGUCUUUGCAAAGUAUCUGUUUUUUGUUCCAUUUUCCUUUCUAGCCAAUUUUUAAAAUAAUUUUUAUUCACUUUACAUUCCAUUCAAAGCCCCCUCCCUCCUCUCAGAGCACAUCCAAUUUUAAGUUGGUCUGAGGCCCUCAAAGUCUAUAAUGUCAAUGCAAGAAAACAGAAAAAUAAAACCCCAACAGCAAUUAGUUGGUGGGAAAAACUAGA
Mastomys coucha (southern multimammate mouse) is the source of this 1062-nucleotide long non-coding RNA. RefSeq lists it as uncharacterized. The transcript is spliced from 5 exons. The record is from RefSeq and is a predicted model, not a curated record. NCBI's taxonomy places the organism in Eukaryota, Metazoa, Chordata, Mammalia, Rodentia, Muridae.